AUGGUGAGCUGGCCCGACAUUUGCAAACCCAAAGACCAGGGUGGCCUUGGGAUCUUGUCAUCUCGGCGCAUGAACAUUGCUCUCCUGGCCCGUUGGCUGUGGCGUAUCGCCAAUGGGGAGGGAGGCCUCUGGCUUACCAUCAUCCGUAAUAAGUAUCUUCGGGGCCAGCCUCUUGCCUUUUGCCAGCGUACGGGUGGAUCCCAGUUCUGGCAAUCCGUGAUCCAGCUUCUGCCCGUCCUUCGCAUCGGCACAUCCAUCUCAAUUGGAUCCGGGUCCUCAACCCUGUUCUGGUUCGACCGUUGGUUAGGGGACUCCCCCUGGCUGCGCGAUUCCCAGAACUCUUUGCCAUUGCGGCCGACCCUCGGGUCUCUGUCGAGAUGGCCCUUAUUGACUUAG
Molecule: ribosomal RNA, 396 nt
Filed under: Triticum aestivum (bread wheat)
Lineage: Eukaryota; Viridiplantae; Streptophyta; Magnoliopsida; Poales; Poaceae
Description: partial small subunit ribosomal RNA
Source: RNAcentral